GGGUCAGUAGGUUGGUCGUGCCACCGGUACGUACUGGUCUCACUGAUUCCUCCUUCCUGAAGAACCGUAAUGCCAUUAAUUUGGUGUUGCGGGGAAACAGGACUGUGACUUUGAAAAAAUUAGAGUGUUUAAAGCAAGCUAACGCUUGAAUACAUUAGCAUGUAAUAAUGAAAUAGGACGAUCGAUCCUAUUUUGUUGGUUUCUAGGAUUGACGUA
RNAcentral lists this ribosomal RNA (216 nucleotides) under Glomeromycotina sp. RNAcentral's name for it is "partial small subunit ribosomal RNA". The stretch from base 40 to 216 matches the Rfam family "Eukaryotic small subunit ribosomal RNA", at positions 686 to 864 of the family's 1831-position model. The record is from RNAcentral. Lineage: Eukaryota; Fungi; Glomeromycota.